Molecule: ribosomal RNA, 1433 nt
Filed under: uncultured organism
Description: 16S ribosomal RNA
Rfam family: Bacterial small subunit ribosomal RNA
Source: RNAcentral
CAGGCUUGACACAUGCAAGUCGAGGGGCAGCAUGGUCUUAGCUUGCUAAGGCCGAUGGCGACCGGCGCACGGGUGAGUAACACGUAUCCAACCUGCCGUCUACUCUUGGACAGCCUUCUGAAAGGAAGAUUAAUACAAGAUGGCAUCAUGAGUCCGCAUGUUCACAUGAUUAAAGGUAUUCCGGUAGACGAUGGGGAUGCGUUCCAUUAGAUAGUAGGCGGGGUAACGGCCCACCUAGUCUUCGAUGGAUAGGGGUUCUGAGAGGAAGGUCCCCCACAUUGGAACUGAGACACGGUCCAAACUCCUACGGGAGGCAGCAGUGAGGAAUAUUGGUCAGUGGGCGAGAGCCUGAACCAGCCAAGUAGCGUGAAGGAUGACUGCCCUAUGGGUUGUAAACUUCUUUUAUAAAGGAAUAAAGUCGGGUAUGGAUACCCGUUUGCAUGUACUUUAUGAAUAAGGAUCGGCUAACUCCGUGCCAGCAGCCGCGGUAAUACGGAGGAUCCGAGCGUUAUCCGGAUUUAUUGGGUUUAAAGGGAGCGUAGAUGGAUGUUUAAGUCAGUUGUGAAAGUUUGCGGCUCAACCGUAAAAUUGCAGUUGAUACUGGAUAUCUUGAGUGCAGUUGAGGCAGGCGGAAUUCGUGGUGUAGCGGUGAAAUGCUUAGAUAUCACGAAGAACUCCGAUUGCGAAGGCAGCCUGCUAAGCUGCAACUGACAUUGAGGCUCGAAAGUGUGGGUAUCAAACAGGAUUAGAUACCCUGGUAGUCCACACGGUAAACGAUGAAUACUCGCUGUUUGCGAUAUACAGCAAGCGGCCAAGCGAAAGCGUUAAGUAUUCCACCUGGGGAGUACGCCGGCAACGGUGAAACUCAAAGGAAUUGACGGGGGCCCGCACAAGCGGAGGAACAUGUGGUUUAAUUCGAUGAUACGCGAGGAACCUUACCCGGGCUUAAAUUGCAGAUGAAUUACGGUGAAAGCCGUAAGCCGCAAGGCAUCUGUGAAGGUGCUGCAUGGUUGUCGUCAGCUCGUGCCGUGAGGUGUCGGCUUAAGUGCCAUAACGAGCGCAACCCUUGUUGUCAGUUACUAACAGGUUCCGCUGAGGACUCUGACAAGACUGCCAUCGUAAGAUGUGAGGAAGGUGGGGAUGACGUCAAAUCAGCACGGCCCUUACGUCCGGGGCUACACACGUGUUACAAUGGGGGGUACAGAGGGCCGCUACCACGCGAGUGGAUGCCAAUCCCAAAAACCUCUCUCAGUUCGGACUGGAGUCUGCAACCCGACUCCACGAAGCUGGAUUCGCUAGCAAUCGCGCAUCAGCCACGGCGCGGUGAAUACGUUCCCGGGCCUUGUACACACCGCCCGUCAAGCCAUGGGAGCCGGGGGUACCUGAAGUGCGUAACCGCGAGGAGCGCCCUAGGGUAAAACUGGUGACUGGGG